AAAACUCUGUUAUCAGGGAAGAACAAGUAUCGGAGUUACUGCCGGUACCUUGACGGUACCUGACCAGAAAGCCACGGCUAACUACGUGCCAGCAGCCGCGGUAAUACGUAGGUGGCAAGCGUUGUCCGGAAUUAUUGGGCGUAAAGGGCGCGCAGGCGGUUUCUUAAGUCUGAUGUGAAAUCUUGUGGCUCAACCACAAGCUGUCAUUGGAAACUGGGAGACUUGAGUGCAGAAGAGAAGAGCGGAAUUCCACGUGUAGCGGUGAAAUGCGUAGAGAUGUGGAGGAACACCAGUGGCGAAGGCGGCUCUUUGGUCUGCAACUGACGCUGAGGCGCGAAAGCGUGGGGAGCGAACAGGAUUAGAUACCCUGGUAGUCCACGCCGUAAACGAUGAGUGCUAAGUGUUAGAGGGUUUCCGCCCUUUAGUGCUGCAGUAAACGCAUUAAGCACUCCGCCUGGGGAGUACGGCCGCAAGGCUGAAACUCAAAGGAAUUGACGGGGGCCCGCACAAGCGGUGGAGCAUGUGGUUUAAUUCGAAGCAACGCGAAGAACCUUACCUGGAUUUGACAUCCUGGUGAAACUCCGGUGAAAGCCGGAGCCCCCUUCGGGGCACCAGGACAG
RNAcentral lists this ribosomal RNA (620 nucleotides) under uncultured bacterium. RNAcentral describes it as "bacterial SSU rRNA". It matches the Rfam family "Bacterial small subunit ribosomal RNA", at positions 427 to 1037 of the family's 1533-position model. The record is from RNAcentral.